AGGGGGUAGAGGCUGGUCUUCUACUUGCUGUAGGCCUUGAACGGCCGCAGUGAGUGCUUGGACUUGUUGGACAAGUAGGAUGAACUGCUCUGGUUGGGCUUGAGGGACUGGAUCCGCUGGAGGCCUUGGUGGUGGGUUCUGGACUGAGUGUCCAGGACUUGGUGCGCGAUGUCGGGAGGCAUUAGAGGCUCCUUUACUUCUCAGCUUCAUGGUUACGACUCGGGCCCUUCCUCUAGCGCCAAUUGUCGCUGGAAAUUGGAUCCGGGGGUGACCACUGGCUGAGAAAGGGGAGCUCCGGCGGGUGGCGCGUCGGCAGGCUGCGUCCUCCGGAGGACCUGCAAAAAGCCGGUGGCCGAGGUUUCCGGCGCCGGCCCUCCGAUGCUUAAGUCAGAGGGGGGCUUUCGUGGAGAAAGAGAGAGAUGUUGCAUGCAAGGUCUGAGAGUCUCAAGUCCCAUUCCCCUUUAAAGAGGAAGG
Molecule: long non-coding RNA, 474 nt
Filed under: Phoenix dactylifera (date palm)
Lineage: Eukaryota; Viridiplantae; Streptophyta; Magnoliopsida; Arecales; Arecaceae
Description: long non-coding RNA (PDAC_LNC012949)
Source: RNAcentral